This 253-nucleotide ribosomal RNA is filed under the name uncultured bacterium. Its description in RNAcentral is "partial 16S ribosomal RNA". It matches the Rfam family "Bacterial small subunit ribosomal RNA", at positions 524 to 776 of the family's 1533-position model. The record is from RNAcentral.
UACGUAGGUGACAAGCGUUGUCCGGAUUUACUGGGCGUAAAGAGCGCGCAGGCGGUCGUUCAAGUCGAGUGUGAAAGCCCCCGGCUCAACUGGGGAGGGUCACUCGAUACUGAUCGACUCGAAGGCAGGAGAGGGUAGUGGAAUUCCCGGUGUAGUGGUGAAAUGCGUAGAUAUCUGGAGGAAUACCGGUGGCGAAGGCGGCAUCCUGGACCGGCAUUGACGCUGAGGAGCGAAAGCCAGGGGAGCAAACGGG